RNAcentral lists this ribosomal RNA (259 nucleotides) under uncultured bacterium. Its description in RNAcentral is "partial 16S ribosomal RNA". It matches the Rfam family "Bacterial small subunit ribosomal RNA", at positions 524 to 783 of the family's 1533-position model. The record is from RNAcentral.
GACAGAGGGUGCAAACGUUGUUCGGAAUUACUGGGCGUAAAGCGCAUGUAGGCGGCCAAGCAGGUCGGAUGUGAAAGCCCUCGGCUCAACCAAGGAAGUGCAUUCGAAACCGCAUGGCUCGAGUCCCGGAGAGGAUGGUGGAAUUCUCGGUGUAGAGGUGAAAUUCGUAGAUAUUGGGAAGAACACCGAUGGCGAAGGCAGGUCUCUGGGCAUUAACUGACGCUGAGGAGCGAAAGCAUGGGGAGCGAACAGGAUAGAU